This 348-nucleotide ribosomal RNA is filed under the name uncultured bacterium. Its description in RNAcentral is "bacterial SSU rRNA". It matches the Rfam family "Bacterial small subunit ribosomal RNA", at positions 29 to 406 of the family's 1533-position model. The record is from RNAcentral.
AACGAACGCUGGCGGCAUGCCUAACACAUGCAAGUCGAACGGGACCUUCGGGUCUAGUGGCGCACGGGUGCGUAACGCGUGGGAAUCUGCCCUCUGGUACGGAAUAACUCAGGGAAACUUGAGCUAAUACCGUAUAAUGACUUCGGUCCAAAGAUUCAUCGCCUGAGGAUGAGCCCGCGUAGGAUUAGCUAGUUGGUGGGUAAAAGCCUACCAAGGCGACGAUCCUUAGCUGGCUGAGAGGAUGAUCAGCCACACUGGGACUGAGACACGGCCCAGACUCCUACGGGAGGCAGCAGUGGGGAAUAUUGGACAAUGGGCGAAAGCGUGAUGCAGCAACGCCGCGUGAGG